Molecule: ribosomal RNA, 74 nt
Filed under: Ostreococcus sp. 'lucimarinus'
Lineage: Eukaryota; Viridiplantae; Chlorophyta; Mamiellophyceae; Mamiellales; Bathycoccaceae
Description: partial 5.8S ribosomal RNA
Source: RNAcentral
ACGACGGGGCGACCGCGUGCACGCCGACUGACGCGAAAGCGAUGGCGACGACGACGACGACGAUGCGCGAGGCG